Molecule: non-coding RNA, 22 nt
Filed under: Arabidopsis thaliana (thale cress)
Lineage: Eukaryota; Viridiplantae; Streptophyta; Magnoliopsida; Brassicales; Brassicaceae
Source: RNAcentral
GAUAUAAGUAAGGUGAAAGCAC